This 72-nucleotide transfer RNA is filed under the name Candidatus Yanofskybacteria bacterium CG10_big_fil_rev_8_21_14_0_10_36_16. RNAcentral describes it as "tRNA-His". It matches the Rfam family "tRNA". Rfam says of the family: Transfer RNA (tRNA) molecules are approximately 80 nucleotides in length. Their secondary structure includes four short double-helical elements and three loops (D, anti-codon, and T loops). Lineage: Bacteria; Candidatus Yanofskyibacteriota. The record is from RNAcentral.
GUGAUCGUAGCUCAACGGCAGAGCACCGCUUUGUGGAGGCGGGGGUUACGGGUUCAAAUCCCGUCGGUCACC